RNAcentral lists this ribosomal RNA (253 nucleotides) under uncultured bacterium. RNAcentral describes it as "partial 16S ribosomal RNA". It matches the Rfam family "Bacterial small subunit ribosomal RNA", at positions 524 to 776 of the family's 1533-position model. The record is from RNAcentral.
UACGUAGGGGGCAAGCGUUGUCCGGAAUCAUUGGGCGUAAAGAGCGUGUAGGCGGCCCGAUAAGUCCGCUGUGAAAGUCCAGGGCUCAACCCUGGAAUGCCGGUGGAUACUGUCGGGCUCGAAUCCGGAAGAGGUGAGUGGAAUUCCUGGUGUAGCGGUGAAAUGCGCAGAUAUCGGGAGGAACAUCUGUGGCGAAGGCGACACCCUGGACCAGCACUGACACUGAGGCGCGAAAGCGUGGGGAGCAAACAGG